RNAcentral lists this ribosomal RNA (429 nucleotides) under uncultured eukaryote. RNAcentral's name for it is "bacterial SSU rRNA". It matches the Rfam family "Eukaryotic small subunit ribosomal RNA", at positions 13 to 434 of the family's 1831-position model. The record is from RNAcentral.
CCUGCCAGUAGUCAUUAUGCUUGUCUCAAAGAUUAAGCCAUGCAAGUGUAAGUAUAAUUGUUUUACGGUGAAACUGCGAAUGGCUCAUUAAAUCAGUUAUAGUUUAUUUGAUGCUAUAGGUCGAAAGGCCACUACAUGGAUAUCUGUAGUAACAUAGAGCUAAUACAUGCAAUAUAGUCUGACUUUUUGGAAGGACUAGCACUUAUUAGAUAUUAAACCAAUCCUAGCAAUAGGUUUUAUGGUGAUUCAUAGUAACUGAACAAAUCACAUGGUCUUGUACCGGUGAUGUUUCAUUCAAAUUUCUGCCCUAUCAACUAGAUGGUAGUAUAUAGGACUACCAUGGUUGUAACGGGUAACGGAGGAUUAGGGUUUUGAUUCCGGAGAAGGAGCAUGAGAAACGGCUACUAUUUCUAAGGAAAGCAGCAGGCG